UACGGGGGGGGCAAGCGUUGUUCGGAAUUACUGGGCGUAAAGGGCUCGUAGGCGGCCAACUAAGUCAUACGUGAAAUCCCUCGGCUUAACCGGGGAACUGCGUCUGAUACUGGAUGGCUUGAGUUCGGGAGAGGGAUGCGGAAUUCCAGGUGUAGCGGUGAAAUGCGUAGAUAUCUGGAGGAACACCGGUGGCGAAGGCGGCAUCCUGGACCGAUACUGACGCUGAGGAGCGAAAGCCAUGGGAGCAAACGGG
RNAcentral lists this ribosomal RNA (253 nucleotides) under uncultured bacterium. Its description in RNAcentral is "partial 16S ribosomal RNA". It matches the Rfam family "Bacterial small subunit ribosomal RNA", at positions 524 to 776 of the family's 1533-position model. The record is from RNAcentral.